CAUCAUUUCCAUAUAAGUAGCAAGCACUGUACUGGCAGCCCGAGCUCUCUAGUGUUAAUAUAAGUUGAGUGGUUCGCAGAAUCAUCAUCCGUUUCGAACUUUCAAAGACAUAUUCUCCAGAUAUAUCCACCAUUCAGCAUCCAACUUCUGGUUUAAUAUAUGUACAUGAUUGAAAGUACAAAGCAAUAACCUCAACACCAACUCACACAUGACCCGUGAGGUUCAAUCCCAGAAAAGAAGUCUCUAUAAAGCAAAAAUAGAAUAAUAAUAGUCUAAAAAGUAAAUUCAAAGCGCCAAAGGCACCUGUUACAUUCCGGGCCUACAAAAACUUGGAUAAAAAGCCUUCACUGAAAUAUCUCAUUACCGCAAGACAAAGUGUGUGUCACCGGAGGUGGUCCGAUGAUGGAUGCUCAGGCGCCUUGGGGUGCUCGACCUGUCUGAAAAACAAAAAAU
Long non-coding RNA from Cotesia glomerata, 453 nucleotides. RefSeq lists it as uncharacterized. Lineage: Eukaryota; Metazoa; Arthropoda; Insecta; Hymenoptera; Braconidae. The transcript has 3 exons. The record is from RefSeq and is a predicted model, not a curated record.